Tupaia belangeri (northern tree shrew) is the source of this 107-nucleotide small nuclear RNA. The record is from Ensembl. Lineage: Eukaryota; Metazoa; Chordata; Mammalia; Scandentia; Tupaiidae.
GUGCUCGCUUUGGCAGCACAUAUACUAAAAUUGGAACGAUACAGAGAAGAUUAGCAUGGCCCCUGCACAAGGAUGACACACAAAUUCAUGAAGCUUUCCAUAUUUUU